AACCUGUUUUCUUUUUUCAGUGUCACGUAGGACUUUGGUACUUAUCGAACAACUUCCAAUUUUACGUGAUUUCUCUGAUGAUAUACUACUUUAUGUUCAAAUUCAAGAUUGGACAGAAGAUGAUCAUCUUUGUCAUGACAUUCUUCUGGUCGAUAACGUUUUGCUUGAUAUAUUUCCACAACAUAACAGAUCCCAACCCCCAUUUCACACGUGAUAAUUCAUUAGAAAUCAUGAUGUCUUCCUACCAGUUGUAUAUUUUGUACACAUGCAUGUACAUAAACUAUGGCAGUUUUGGAGUUGGUCUGUUAUUUGGAUACUGGUUUCAUCGCUACAAAAAUCAAACGUUUCAUUGCAAUAAGGUAAUGUCGAUUUUGUGGUUACUGAUGUUCUUUGGUCUACCAUCGAUUGCUAUUUAUAGUACCCUUUUUGAGUACUCUAGAUUAGCCACCGCAAUAUUGUUACCCACCGCAAGGACGUUAUUUUCACUAGGAAUUGCGAUAGGAAUUUUUGGCAUGAUUAAGGGAAUGGGGGGUGAGUACUAUCUAUUGAUGGA
Leptinotarsa decemlineata (Colorado potato beetle) is the source of this 553-nucleotide long non-coding RNA. The record is from RefSeq and is a predicted model, not a curated record. Lineage: Eukaryota; Metazoa; Arthropoda; Insecta; Coleoptera; Chrysomelidae.